GACGAACGCUGGCGGCGUGCUUAACACAUGCAAGUCGAACGCUGAAGCUCAGCUUUUGUUGGGUGGAUGAGUGGCGAACGGGUGAGUAACACGUGAGUAACCUGCCCCCUUCUUUGGGAUAACGCCCGGAAACGGGUGCUAAUACUGGAUAUUCACUGGUCUUCGCAUGGGGGUUGGUGGAAAGGGUUUUUCUGGUGGGGGAUGGGCUCGCGGCCUAUCAGCUUGUUGGUGGGGUGAUGGCCUACCAAGGCUUUGACGGGUAGCCGGCCUGAGAGGGUGACCGGUCGCAUUGGGACUGAGAUACGGCCCAGACUCCUACGGGAGGCAGCAGUGGGGAAUAUUGCACAAUGGGCGCAAGCCUGAUGCAGCGACGCCGCGUGAGGGAUGGCGGCCUUCGGGUUGUGAACCUCUUUCGCUCAUGGUCAAGCCGCAACAAUGGUUGUGGUGAGGGUAGUGGGUAAAGAAGCGCCGGCUAACUACGUG
RNAcentral lists this ribosomal RNA (483 nucleotides) under uncultured bacterium. RNAcentral describes it as "partial 16S ribosomal RNA". It matches the Rfam family "Bacterial small subunit ribosomal RNA", at positions 28 to 507 of the family's 1533-position model. The record is from RNAcentral.